Molecule: ribosomal RNA, 468 nt
Filed under: uncultured bacterium
Lineage: Bacteria
Description: partial 16S ribosomal RNA
Rfam family: Bacterial small subunit ribosomal RNA
Source: RNAcentral
GAUGAACGCUGGCGGCGUGCUUAACACAUGCAAGUCGAACGGAAAGGCCCAAGCUUGCUUGGGUACUCGAGUGGCGAACGGGUGAGUAACACGUGGGUGAUCUGCCCUGCACUUCGGGAUAAGCCUGGGAAACUGGGUCUAAUACCGGAUAGGACGACGGUCUGGAUGCCAUUGUGGAAAGUGUUUCCGGGGUGGGAUGAGGUCUCGGCCUAUCAGCGUGUUGGUGGGGUAUUGGCGUACAAAGGGGUCGUGGGGUAGCCGGGGUGAGAGGGGGUACGGCGCCAUUGUGGGUGAGAUACAGGGCCGAGUCCUAUGCGGGGGGGCGGAGGGGAGUAUAGUACACAGGGGGCGAGACUGAGGCGGAGACGCGGCGUGUGGGGUGUCGGGGCUCGGGUUGUAAACUCCUUUUGCUAGGGUGAAGGAGUGUUUGUGACGGUACCUGGUAAAGAAGCACCGGCUAACUACGUG